Molecule: ribosomal RNA, 509 nt
Filed under: Ophiocordyceps hemisphaerica
Lineage: Eukaryota; Fungi; Ascomycota; Sordariomycetes; Hypocreales; Ophiocordycipitaceae
Description: eukaryotic LSU rRNA
Rfam family: 5.8S ribosomal RNA (bases 164-317)
Source: RNAcentral
UUAGAGGAAGUAAAAGUCGUAACAAGGUCUCCGUUGGUGAACCAGCGGAGGGAUCAUUAAAGUGGUUAACACUAGUUCUUUGUGGAUUUAUUUAAAUGCCUUGGCAGUUUUUCUGCCAAAAUUUCUAUUUACUUGAUUUUCUGAGUUUAUACCAAAUGUUAAAAACUUUCAGCAACGGAUCUCUUGGCUCUAGCAUCGAUGAAGAACGCAGCGAAAUGCGAUAAGUAAUGCGAAUUGCAGAAUUCAGUGAGUCAUCGAAUCUUUGAACGCACAUUGCGCCUGCUAGAAAUCUAGCAGGCAUGCCUGUUCGAGCGUUAUUAAGUCCCUCUUUCUUAGGUGUUGGAGAAUGGCGUGUCCAUCUCUGAAAUACAGUGGCACAGGAUUACGGUCUUGUCUGCGUAGUAAUAUCUCGCACGCAUUACCAGUCUCAGUGCAGAAAAAAAAACUUUAGUUAACCUCGAAUCAGGUAGGAAUACCCGCUGAACUUAAGCAUAUCAAUAAGCGGAGGA